GGGUAACCUACCUAUAAAACUGGGAUAACUUCGGGAAACCGGAGCUAAUACCGGAUAAUAUUUCGAACCGCAUGGUUCGAUAGUGAAAGAUGGCUUUGCUAUCACUUAUAGAUGGACCUGCGCCGUAUUAGCUAGUUGGUAAGGUAACGGCUUACCAAGGCAACGAUACGUAGCCGACCUGAGAGGGUGAUCGGCCACACUGGAACUGAGACACGGUCCAGACUCCUACGGGAGGCAGCAGUAGGGAAUCUUCCGCAAUGGGCGAAAGCCUGACGGAGCAACGCCGCGUGAGUGAUGAAGGUCUUCGGAUCGUAAAACUCUGUUAUUAGGGAAGAACAAACGUGUAAGUAACUGUGCACGUCUUGACGGUACCUAAUCAGAAAGCCACGGCUAACUACGUGCCAGCAGCCGCGGUAAUACGUAGGUGGCAAGCGUUAUCCGGAAUUAUUGGGCGUAAAGCGCGCGUAGGCGGUUUUUUAAGUCUGAUGUGAAAGCCCACGGCUCAACCGUGGAGGGUCAUUUGGAAACUGGAAAACUUGAGUGCAGAAGAGGAAAGUGGAAUUCCCAUGUGUAGCGGUGAAAUGCGCAGAGAUAUGGAGGAACACCAGUGGCGAAGGCGACUUUUCUGGUCUGUAACUGACGCUGAU
Molecule: ribosomal RNA, 647 nt
Filed under: Staphylococcus hominis
Lineage: Bacteria; Bacillati; Bacillota; Bacilli; Caryophanales; Staphylococcaceae
Description: bacterial SSU rRNA
Rfam family: Bacterial small subunit ribosomal RNA
Source: RNAcentral